UAUUACCGCGGCUGCUGGCACGGAGUUAGCCGGAGCUUAUUCUCCCGGUACUGUCAUUAUCAUCCCGGGUAAAAGAGCUUUACAACCCUAAGGCCUUCAUCACUCACGCGGCAUUGCUGGAUCAGGGUUUCCCCCAUUGUCCAAGAUUCCCCACUGCUGCCUCCCGUAGGAUCUC
Molecule: ribosomal RNA, 175 nt
Filed under: uncultured bacterium
Lineage: Bacteria
Description: partial 16S ribosomal RNA
Source: RNAcentral